AAGUCGUAACAAGGUUUCCGUAGGUGAACCUGCGGAAGGAUCAUUAAACGUUUUCCAACGUACCAACCACGUGAACUCGUUUUCGAGUGUCUGCGGUCGGCCUUGAGGGCGUCAAAGUAUGGUGGGCAUCCGCGGGCCGCAAGGCUCGAGGCUCUGCUGUUUGACGUUCUGCAUCGUCUUCGGACGAGACAAGCCGCGCCUCAGCAACCAUUUAUUCUUUAAUUAUUUUUUAAAACGCAUUGUACCACUCGUACUAACACUUUGUGAAGUCGGCAGAGCGUGCUUGCACGCACUCCGAUGAACUUAAAGACAUUAAUUGCUGAACAACUCUUAGCAACGGAUAUCUUGGUUCUC
Molecule: unclassified non-coding RNA, 354 nt
Filed under: fungal sp.
Lineage: Eukaryota; Fungi
Description: partial internal transcribed spacer region
Rfam family: Eukaryotic small subunit ribosomal RNA (bases 1-46)
Source: RNAcentral